CCUACGGGAGGCAGCAGUGGGGAAUUUUCCGCAAUGGGCGAAAGCCUGACGGAGCAACGCCGCGUGAGGGAUGAAGGCCUCUGGGCUGUAAACCUCUUUUCUCAAGGAAGAAGAUCUGACGGUACUUGAGGAAUAAGCCACGGCUAAUUCCGUGCCAGCAGCCGCGGUAAUACGGGAGUGGCAAGCGUUAUCCGGAAUUAUUGGGCGUAAAGCGUCCGCAGGCGGCCCUUCAAGUCUGCUGUUAAAACGUGGAGCUUAACUCCAUCAUGGCAGUGGAAACUGUUGGGCUCGAGUGUGGUAGGGGCAGAGGGAAUUCCCGGUGUAGCGGUGAAAUGCGUAGAUAUCGGGAAGAACACCAGUGGCGAAGGCGCUCUGCUGGGCCAUAACUGACGCUCAUGGACGAAAGCCAGGGGAGCGAAAGGGAUUAGAUACCCCUGUAGUCCUGGCCGUAAACGAUGAACACUAGGUGUCGGGGGAAUCGACCCCCUCGGUGUCGUAGCCAACGCGUUAAGUGUUCCGCCUGGGGAGUACGCACGCAAGUGUGAAACUCAAAGGAAUUGACGG
This 564-nucleotide ribosomal RNA is filed under the name uncultured bacterium. RNAcentral describes it as "bacterial SSU rRNA". It matches the Rfam family "Bacterial small subunit ribosomal RNA", at positions 338 to 916 of the family's 1533-position model. The record is from RNAcentral.